UAGGGAAUCUUCGGCAAUGGACGAAAGUCUGACCGAGCAACGCCGCGUGAGUGAAGAAGGUUUUCGGAUCGUAAAACUCUGUUGUUAGAGAAGAACAAGGACGUUAGUAACUGAACGUCCCCUGACGGUAUCUAACCAGAAAGCCACGGCUAACUACGUGCCAGCAGCCGCGGUAAUACGUAGGUGGCAAGCGUUGUCCGGAUUUAUUGGGCGUAAAGCGAGCGCAGGCGGUUUCUUAAGUCUGAUGUGAAAGCCCCCGGCUCAACCGGGGAGGGUCAUUGGAAACUGGGAGACUUGAGUGCAGAAGAGGAGAGUGGAAUUCCAUGUGUAGCGGUGAAAUGCGUAGAUAUAUGGAGGAACACCAGUGGCGAAGGCGGAUCACUGGCCUGUAACUGACGCUGAGGCUCGAAAGCGUGGGGAGCAAACAGG
Molecule: ribosomal RNA, 429 nt
Filed under: Gemmatimonadota bacterium
Lineage: Bacteria; Pseudomonadati; Gemmatimonadota
Description: Gemmatimonadetes bacterium partial 16S ribosomal RNA
Rfam family: Bacterial small subunit ribosomal RNA
Source: RNAcentral